Non-coding RNA from Lactuca sativa (garden lettuce), 2774 nucleotides. Lineage: Eukaryota; Viridiplantae; Streptophyta; Magnoliopsida; Asterales; Asteraceae. The record is from RefSeq and is a predicted model, not a curated record.
UUCCAGUGGCUGCCUAGACCGACAUUCGUUUGCACCAAUAAAUCCCUAAAUCCUUUUGUCGUCUCUCUAACGCAUCCACAUCCAAGAAGAAUCAGUUUUCCACCCCUCCCCCUUCUCUCUACUGUUAUCCUUGAAAGCACACCGUCGAUCGAUUUUGCUCCUUCUACUACUAUGUUCUUUCAUCUUUCUUCUGUAUCUUCUAUUUUCCUUUCAGUUUGGGCUUUAGAAAAACGGCAGUCCUCGAUGGCGGUAGUGUAGACGAUCUAAGACAAUUAUAAGACGAUUUUUGCAAGUAUGUUUUAUCGGCCCGCUUUUGAUACAGAAUUUCAUCUUCAAUUGAUAUCGGGCACGAUUUUGCAGUUGGUGUAAUUGCUUCGUUCUAUGUUUGCAUCGGCUGGCUGGGUUGGAGCCGAUCUAAUUUUGCAUUGCCUGACUGGGUUGGAUAAAGCUCCCCACCAUCUAUGUGAAUGUGUUUAUUUGUGUGUGUAUUUAUGGCUACGGUUGUGUAUAUGUGUAUUUGUGUGUAUUUAUGUUUCUUUGCGUCUUUUCCAGUAUUUAUUAUUAUGAUUCUCUCUUUUCUCCUUCUCUGCUAUGUUCAGAUCUUGAAGAUGGUUUGUUAUUUGCCAUUAGCACUGCCUUCACCACUUACAUGGCCUUCACUACUCAUCUCCAUUAAUGAAGAAUGAUAGUUUAUUUUGGACUUUUUGCAGAUAUAGUCCCAGGGAUUUUUUUUUUACUAGAACAGAUCUAGAUGGGGAGCUUUACCCAGUUUAAUGUGUCAGACAAAUGAAGACAGAUGAGGAACUACUUAUGGUUUUUAGCUGGCGAGAGUUACGAAUUUCAGUUUAUUACCACCUGAGCAUUGACAAUAUUUCAUAGAAAGGGAACAGGAUGCGCCUCUCAUUGAAGUUGCUUUCCAAAGAUGUUUACUUGAAGAGAAACUCCGUCAUGAAACCCAUCAACAUAUAGACCUAUUUGCAGAUGGUAUAGACAAGAAAAGGCUUUCAAAAUACCAAUAUACAAAGUGCUUACAACUUGGAAAUGGUACUGGUGUGGACAAGAAAGUAAUAGCAGAUGUCUCUGAAGGUUUAGAAAAACACAGAAAUUGUAUAUAUUAACCAGUGUAAUGAUCUUUCCCAAAGACGAUAAUCUGAAAACUUUGAAUCUGCAUCGGGAGUUAUCGAUGAAGCUCUACAAAUAAGCAUCUGUUGGGUAAAUUUCUCCGGAUCAAAAGCAGACACCCUAUUCAUGUUCAGUAAAAAAAAUUUAAAAUCACUAAACCUAAUGGUCAAUUUGAUCAAAACAAAUUUAAAUUAGUUAUUUUUGGAUGCUGACAUCACUAUUUUUUUCUCCUUUUUUGCUUUUUUUAUAACAAUAACCCGAAUGAUGUUUACAAUAUUGGUCUCAUGUAUCAGGUUCUUAUGAUUUAAGCAUGAGAAUGAUAAGAUAUGAGGUUUGUAGCAUUCUAUUACUUAAUAGCUUUAUCAUUUUUUUUUCAUAUUUUUCUCUUUAGGUUGUUAUACGUAAUGAGAUGUGAUUGCAUGGUGCAGUGGACAGCAGCUAUAGUAAGUCUAGAUUAUGACAACAAUGUAGAUAAAAGUUUUGGAGGAGAAGUAGUGGCUAGAUGGUUAAUAGUUCUUAUUAGAAAAAGAAAGAAAAUUUUGCUACAUCAUGGUUUUAAUAAAAAAAAAUAUUUUUAUCAAUGCGGCUAUUACAAACUGGAAAAAGAUUCCUCGUUAUUCAAACAUAAGCUCAAAAACAUUAGAGGAGGAACGGGCCAUACAUUCCAAGAAUUUCCAUGGCAUCCACACAUUCUAUCUCAUGGACCUUAUCACACCCGAUGAUAUAGGCCGUUUUUGGAAGACAUACAAUCAAUGUAAGUUUUAUCUACCUUUUUAGGAACCCAGAGUAUUGGAACUACGCUGAUGAAUUAUCUAAUGCUCUAUUUUUAGAGUUAUUGAUUUCUGACCGCAUCAUCAUUUUUUACUUUCAAUGAAUCUAACAUGCGAUUUAAGAUAUUAUGUAGGUUGACAAAAAAAAUAACCAAUUUCCAGUUCUGCCAUUAUUGAUAUGUGGUUAUAUCAUCUUUUUUUUUUAUCUGAUGUUGUAAAAGAGUUAAAUAUUGAGAUAAUUGUACACUUCAUAUAUCGAAAAUUUUGAAUGCACAUAUAGAAAGUGGUAAUCCAAUGUCAAAUGAUGUCUUUAAUAGCACGUCAAAUUAAUUUAUUUGAAAAAGUUUGAUAAGAAAACAUAAAGUUCAAGUGGUUAGACAACAAAAUUGUACGACAUAUAAGGUCUUUUUUUGUAGUAUGUUUUUUAUUAAAUAACAAAAUUUCAAUUAUACCAUCAGAUUUGUACUUUUUUCAUUAUAUAAAAAUGAAAGAUACAGGUUCCAAAUUAUGCUAUCACCUAUGUUGGGAAUGGAGGAUGUUGUCAAAACUAUAGUCGGUAGAGCCCAGCCACAUAACUAGGGUAUGGUAGCAGUAGAAAGGAUGAAGAGGGUUAAGGCGGUGGUAAAAGAAUUUGAUGCUAGAUUUUGCCCCGGAUACUAAUAUCAACUUGCCCUCAACCUGCCCUUUUGAUCAGUUAAAGCCACAGUCACAUGCAGAUUGUUGAACUCAAAUUCAAUGGAACUGCAGGAACUUGCUUUUACUUCAUCGUUAUUUGUAUUAGAUAGGUUUGAGUGUUGUAAUCGGUUAUUUCUGCAUUUAAGUUUAGUUAAAUACAAUAAAUAGCAACCUAUUUUCAUAAAUAUGUCUAUUGUUUCGUCCUCC